UACGUAGGGGGCUAGCGUUGUCCGGAAUCAUUGGGCGUAAAGCGCGCGUAGGCGGCCCGGUAAGUCCGCUGUGAAAGUCAAAGGCUCAACCUUUGAAAGCCGGUGGAUACUGCCGGGCUAGAGUCCGGAAGAGGCGAGGGGAAUUCCUGGUGUAGCGGUGGAAUGCGCAGAUAUCAGGAGGAACACCAAUAGCGAAGGCAGCUCGCUGGGACGGUACUGACGCUAAGGCGCGAAAGCGUGGGGAGCGAACAGG
This 253-nucleotide ribosomal RNA is filed under the name uncultured bacterium. Its description in RNAcentral is "partial 16S ribosomal RNA". It matches the Rfam family "Bacterial small subunit ribosomal RNA", at positions 524 to 776 of the family's 1533-position model. The record is from RNAcentral.